GACGAACGCUGGCGGCGUGCUUAACACAUGCCAGUCGAACGAUGAACCCGGAGCUUGCUCUGGGGGAUUAGUGGCGAACGGGUGAGUAACACGUGAGUAACCUGCCCUGGACUCUGGGAUAAGCGUUGGAAACGACGUCUAAUACCGGAUAGGACCUUGGAUCGCAUGAUCUGGGGUGGAAAGUUUUUUCGGUCUGGGAUGGACUCGCGGCCUAUCAGCUUGUUGGUGAGGUAAUGGCUCACCAAGGCGUCGACGGGUAGCCGGCCUGAGAGGGUGACCGGCCACACUGGGACUGAGACACGGCCCAGACUCCUACGGGAGGCAGCAGUGGGGAAUAUUGCACAAUGGGCGAAAGCCUGAUGCAGCAACGCCGCGUGCGGGAUGACGGCCUUCGGGUUGUAAACCGCUUUUAGUAGGGAAGAAGGGCUUCGGCUUGACGGUACCUGCAGAAGAAGGACCGGCUAACUACGUG
This 472-nucleotide ribosomal RNA is filed under the name uncultured bacterium. Its description in RNAcentral is "partial 16S ribosomal RNA". It matches the Rfam family "Bacterial small subunit ribosomal RNA", at positions 28 to 507 of the family's 1533-position model. The record is from RNAcentral.